This 760-nucleotide ribosomal RNA is filed under the name Prevotella nigrescens. RNAcentral describes it as "bacterial SSU rRNA". It matches the Rfam family "Bacterial small subunit ribosomal RNA", at positions 28 to 776 of the family's 1533-position model. The record is from RNAcentral. Lineage: Bacteria; Pseudomonadati; Bacteroidota; Bacteroidia; Bacteroidales; Prevotellaceae.
GAUGAACGCUGGCUACAGGCUUAACACAUGCAAGUCGUGGGGAAACGGCAUUAUGUGCUUGCACAUUCUGGACGUCGACCGGCGCACGGGUGAGUAUCGCGUAUCCAACCUGCCCCUUACUUGGGGAUACCCCGUCGAAAGACGGCCUAAUACCCGAUGUGUUUCAUUGACGGCAUCCGAUAUGAAACAAAGGUUUUCCGGUAAGGGAUGGGGAUGCGUCUGAUUAGCUUGUUGGCGGGGCAACGGCCCACCAAGGCGACGAUCAGUAGGGGUUCUGAGAGGAAGGUCCCCCACAUUGGAACUGAGACACGGUCCAAACUCCUACGGGAGGCAGCAGUGAGGAAUAUUGGUCAAUGGACGCAAGUCUGAACCAGCCAAGUAGCGUGCAGGAUGACGGCCCUAUGGGUUGUAAACUGCUUUUAUGUGGGAAUAAGGUGGCGCACGUGUGCGCCAUUGCAUGUACCUCAUGAAUAAGGACCGGCUAAUUCCGUGCCAGCAGCCGCGGUAAUACGGAAGGUCCGGGCGUUAUCCGGAUUUAUUGGGUUUAAAGGGAGUGUAGGCGGUCUGUUAAGCGUGUUGUGAAAUUUAGGUGCUCAACAUUUAACUUGCAGCGCGAACUGUCAGACUUGAGUACACGCAGCGCGGCGGAAUUCAUGGUGUAGCGGUGAAAUGCUUAGAUAUCAUGAGGAACUCCGAUCGCGAAGGCAGCCUGCGGGAGUGUUACUGACGCUUAAGCUCGAAGGUGCGGGUAUCGAACAGG